GCGGACGGGUGCGUAACACGUAGCUACUUGCCCCACAGUGGGGGAUAACCCGGGGAAACCCGGGCUAAUACCGCAUACACCCGAGAGGGGAAAGCCGUAAGGUGCUGUGGGAUAGGGCUGCGGCGUAUCAGGUAGUUGGUGGGGUAACGGCCUACCAAGCCGAUGACGCGUAGCUGGUCUGAGAGGAUGAUCAGCCACACUGGAACUGAGACACGGUCCAGACUCCUACGGGAGGCAGCAGUGGGGAAUCUUGGGCAAUGGGGGAAACCCUGACCCAGCAACGCCGCGUGGAGGAAGACGCCCUUCGGGGUGUAAACUCCUU
Molecule: ribosomal RNA, 322 nt
Filed under: uncultured bacterium
Lineage: Bacteria
Description: bacterial SSU rRNA
Rfam family: Bacterial small subunit ribosomal RNA
Source: RNAcentral